GAAUCAAAGUAGCUCGCGACUGUUGUAUUUUAGUCGGUCGGGUGAAGCGGUAGCUUCGUGCUCCGCUUCUCUCGCGCUUGCUUGCGUGAAGGCUUAGAGCCCUUUUCGCUAGGCCCAAAAGCUUCCCAAAAGAUCUGAUCCAACAGAAAUCCCGCAUUGAGCGUAGCUGAUAUGCGGCUACGGCUAGCCGAUCAUAUCAUUCCAUAAAAAAAAUCUAUAUGUAUAGAGAGAUCCCCUAGAUAUACAGAUAGAAUAGAUGUUCAUGGAUAGACAGACAUUCCAUUGAUUCUUUGUUUUUGGGCUGAAAAAGCUCGUCGAUCCAAAUGAAUCAUUCU
RNAcentral lists this long non-coding RNA (335 nucleotides) under Nicotiana benthamiana. RNAcentral's name for it is "long non-coding RNA (NBEN_LNC034420)". Lineage: Eukaryota; Viridiplantae; Streptophyta; Magnoliopsida; Solanales; Solanaceae. The record is from RNAcentral.